Molecule: long non-coding RNA, 2131 nt
Organism: Pan troglodytes (chimpanzee)
Lineage: Eukaryota; Metazoa; Chordata; Mammalia; Primates; Hominidae
Exons: 3
Source: RefSeq, a predicted model, not a curated record
GCGCAGCGAUUGGAGCCCGCGGGCGCGAGAGGAUCCCCGGGCCGCGGCCCCGCCUCCCGAAAGCACCUCCUCCCAGCCGGGCCGCCGCCGGGCAGGGGUCUUAGCCAACGAGAGACAGGAUCUCACUCUGUCUCCUGGACUGAAGUGCAGUGGCACGAUCGUAGCUUACUGCAGCCUCGAACUCCUGGGCUCAAGCAAUCCUCCAGCCAUCCCACCAUCUACAUUAAAUGUGGACUCUUGUUCUGUUGCCAGGCUGGAGUGCAGUGGCAUGAUCUCGGCUUACUGCAACCUCCGCCUCCUGGGUUCAAGCGAUUCUCCUGCCUCAGCCUCCCAAAUAGCUGGAACUACAGGCGCACACCACCACACCCAGCUAAUUUUUGUAUUUUUAGUAGAGAUGGGGUUUCACCAUGUUGGCCAGGAUGGUCUUGAUCUCUUGACCUCGUGAUCCUCCUGCCUCAGCCUCCCAAAGUGCUGGGAUUACAGGUGUGAGCCACCACACCCGGCCUGUUCAUUAAAUUUUUGUCAGUAACUCCUAUAAACUGUCUAGGAUUAGUGUCUUUUUCAGGGGGAAAGUUUGAGACUUCCAAAUAUGUUUCUUUCUUGGCAAUGGGUUAUCCUAAUUUUCUAUCCCUUCUUAACUCUUUUUUGGAUAUUUAUAAUUUUAGAAAAUUGUCCUGUUGAUCUUAGGUUUUCACAUUUAUUUUAAGUUUUCAUAGCAUUGUUUUAUCACCUUUUUUUUUUUUUUCAAGGCCGAGUCUCACUCUGUCAACCCAGACUGGAGUGCAAUGGCGCAGUCUCAGCUCACUACAACCUCCAUCUCCUGGGUUCAAGUGAUUCUCCUGCCUCAGCCUCCUGAGUAGCUGGGAUUACAGGUGCCCACCACCAUGCCCGGCUAAUUUUUGUAUUUUUAUAGAGACAGGGGUUCACCAUGUUGGCCAGGCUAGUCUCAAACUCCUGACCUCAGGUAAUCCACCCACCUCAGCCUCCCAAAGUGCUGGAAUUACAGGUGUGAGCCACUACGCCCGGCCGUGUUUUAUUACUUAAAACGUUAUUGUGAAAUAAAGGGAGUUUUUGAGCUUCUAAAGCAUUUGUAUUGUGAACCCAUUUUAAUUCCUAAUAGUGGUUAGUUUUGGUUUCUCUGUUUUUCCCUUAUUAGUCUUUGUAGAAAUUUGCCAAUUUUAUAUAUCUAAGAGGGAAAAAGAAACUUGGUUUUGUUUCUUUUUUUUUUUCUUUGUAUUUUUAGUAGAGAUGGGGUUUCACUAUUUUGGCCAGGCUGGUCUUGAACUCCUGACCUUGUGAUCCACCCACCUCAGCCUCCCAAAGUGCUGGGAUUACAGGUGUGAGCCAUCAUGCCCGGCCCUGGUUUUGCUGUUUCUGUUUUGUUCAUUUAAAUAUUUAUUGGGGCCUCUCCCCUCUCCCCUCUCCCCUCUCCCCUCUCCCCUCCUCCCUCCCCCCUCUCCCCUCUCCCCUCUCCCCUCUCCCCUCUUUCCACGGUCUCCCUCUGAUGCCGAGCCGAAGCUGGACGGUACUGCUGCCAUCUCAGCUCACUGCAACCUCCCUGCCCGAUUCUCCUGCCUCAGCCUGCCGAGUGCCUGCGAUUGCAGGCGUGCGCCGCCACGCCUGACUGGUUUUCGUAUUUUUUUGGUGGAGACGGGGUUUCGAUGUGUCGGCUGGGCUGGUCUCCAGCUCCUAACCGCGAGUGAUCCCCCAGCCUCGGCCUCCCGAGGUGCCGGGAUUGCAGACGGAGUCUCGUUAACUCAGUGCUCAAUGGCGCCCAGGCUGGAGUGCAGUGGCGUGAUCUCGGCUCGCUACAACCACCUCCCAGCCGCCUGCCUUGGCCUCCCUAAGUGCCGAGAUUGCAGCCUCUGCCUGGCAGCCACCCCGUCUGGGAAGUGAGGAGCGUCUCCGCCUGACUGCCCAUCGUCUGGGAUGUGAGGAGCCCCUCUGCCUGGCUGCCCAGUCUGGAAAGUGAGGAGCGUCUCUGCCCGGCCGCCAUCCCAUCUAGGAAGUGAGGAGCGCCUCUUCCCGGCCGCCAUCACAUCUGGGAAGUGAGGAGCGUCUCUGCCCAGCCGCCCAUCGUCUGAGAUGUGGGGAGCACCUCUGCCCUGCCGCCCCGUCCGGGAUGUGAGGA